Molecule: ribosomal RNA, 383 nt
Filed under: uncultured bacterium
Lineage: Bacteria
Description: bacterial SSU rRNA
Rfam family: Bacterial small subunit ribosomal RNA
Source: RNAcentral
AUACGAGCGGCCGAUGUCGGAUUAGCUAGUUGGUGGGGUAAAGGCCUACCAAGGCGACGAUCCGUAGCGGGUCUGAGAGGAUGAUCCGCCACACUGGGACUGAGACACGGCCCAGACUCCUACGGGAGGCAGCAGUGGGGAAUUUUGGACAAUGGGGGCAACCCUGAUCCAGCCAUGCCGCGUGAGUGAAGAAGGCCUUCGGGUUGUAAAGCUCUUUCAGGUGGAAAGAAAUCGCAUCUUUUAAUACAGGGUGUGGAUGACGGUACCAUCAGAAGAAGCACCGGCUAACUACGUGCCAGCAGCCGCGGUAAUACGUAGGGUGCGAGCGUUAAUCGGAAUUACUGGGCGUAAAGCGUGCGCAGGCGGUUAUGUAAGACAGAUGU